UAAAGUUAGAGCUUAAAUCUCAUAAUGAUACCAAUAAGCCAUUUGCAAUAGGCUGCAAGUAAGUGCUGGCAAGCCGCCUCCAUUGCUUAAUCUAUAUACAAUUUAAAACAGUAGAUAGUUUGACUCAGCUGUGCAACAUACUAUACUAAUCUGCCCUAACCACUGCAUUGUUUCACAAUGCCUGUCAUAGUGCUGCAUCUUGCAUGUAUUGUACAAUACUGCACAUGUAACACGGUAAUCUUAAGAUAAGACUUUAUUGCUCCAGAAGGAAAUUUGCCUUUGAGACACAAUGCAGCUGCUAUACAGUCCAAAUAAUUCAACAUUACUACACAUAUUUGUCAUAAAUACCAUGACAAAAAAGUACAAUAAAUAACUCAGGAUAAAAACUAAAAAUCAGUAAAUACUCCAAACUUCUGAGAUCCUCAAAAUAAAAUGUAAAACACUGAAGAAUCUCAUCUACUGCAGUAACCCAUGAUGUUAUCACUUAUUGCACAUUCCCACAUUGACCACACAGAACAGUACACAAACAUCAUUAUCAACAACAACAACAACAAUCAAACGUUGCUGCUGUCAGCCACUGGGGUGUUUGUUAAUGGCUUUAAUGGACUGAGGGAUGAAGGAGUGUUCGUAUCUGUUUAGAGUGCACUGAAGAACUCUGUAACGCCUGGCUGAGGGGAGGAGCUGGUAAUCACUGUGAGGGAUAUGAGUCGGGUCAGAAAUAAUUUUUCUGGCCUGAGGGAUGAUGUUUUCCAGAUCUGGGUGUUGUUUGACUCCCAUAAUCUUCAUGGACCUUUGUAUGAGGCGGCUGAUCUUUGCCUUUAACUGCACUGACAGGUUGCCAAACUAGCUGAAAUUUCCCUAUUACUCUCUAUUAUUUUGACUCUCACUGAGCACAUGAAGCCUGCACAGAAAGUAUGGCCUUUGUUGGAUAUGUGUGCACACCUGUUCUACAUGGACUGUCCAGGUUAGAGUGUUAUCUAUGUGAACCCCCCAAGUACUUACAGCUUGCAAUUUUCUCUGUGGGGCACAAACUCACUGAAAAUGAUUCAUUUUUGUAAGGUCUCCAUAAUACACCAUAACAAUGUGAACAUAUUACUUAUAUGGUUCUGCCAUCUGUCAUUUUAAACGAAUAAAUGAAUGAAUAAAUAAACCCAUAAUUUUCAUGAAUGCAACUUGUUUUUCCAUAACUUCCGUAAGUUUGACUUAUCACAGCCCAAAUUAUCAGUUGUCACAGAACCGAAUCAUUUUGCAAUAAAAACAUUUUUCCUGUAUCUGUAAUGUUCUGAAGACCUUGUUUGUUUUGCAGAGGCAGUAUGUGUUCUCUUUUGCAUCCUGCACAAGGCCUGUCAAAUGUUUUUUUGCCCUAAUGGUUAGAACACCUCUGCAGCUCCCCUAAAUAUCAGCCCAGAUAGGAGGGAUUUCCUAAGUUAAGAAAGGGAGAUGUCAACAAGAAGGAAAGAGUCCAGAUCAAAAAACCAGUGGAAACACUCAAUGUGAAGAAUUUCAUCCCAAAAAGUUUAACUGUUUAACUGAUAUAAAAAGAUCAUUUCCCCUCUGUUCUGAGUGAAGUAGUCCAGCUUGACAGUGGCUGAGUUUAUGCACCGUGGCGGCAUGACAAAUUCCUCCAUGUUUUGUCGGUUAGCGUGGGGCCUUCAGAACGAUGACCCCAGACUCAACUCUGUGCGCAACGCUGGGCCCAGGGAACCCACUCAGCCCCAAUAAUGAGAUCAUUACCAACAGUUAAUUAAAAGCGAUGCGUCUUCUAAAGCUUUGCCCCAUAUCGCAUUGUGUCCAAACAAUUGCGUCCCUUGUGGACGUCCGAGGAUGAAAGGGUGAGCCAAAUGGAGGAGAACGCCCAUUGUCCUUCUCCUGAGAAACUGUCUUCCCUCGCUUUUUGCCUUUCAAUGAAUUCUUUGUGUGCGCGCCGGGGUCCGGGGCGGUCCUCUCGGGUUCAGAGUGACAGAGCUGUGCCGAGCCGAGCUGUACCCGGCCCCAAUGUCAGCGGGCUGGAGCCUGGGGAUGGACAGAGGCCUCUUGAGUGCGGACACAGUGAGAGAGAGCACAGGGGCAGCCACAAACUGUCAGGGGAAGAUUAAUCCAGACCAGCGAUUUUCUGGACAGACUCAGUGUUUAUUGUCGGAGGCUCUCAGUCCUUAUCUGCUGUUUGCUCGCUGCUGCUCACCAAGAGAACCUUGGAAGAGGAACGAAGCUUCCAGACAAGUAUGUGAAGGAUAUCUCCUGGUCCGGUGCCACCUACCCUAUCUCUGAAACCUUGUCUGUAUGACCUUGAGAGGACCCUUAAAAGACACCAUCUAUGCUAAGAGAAUGCGGGAGAGAGACCUUCAUUUUCAGGCGAUAAGCUCCAGAAAAUGGAUGAAAUAAUAAAGUUGCUGUGAUGAAACAGUGCUUUAUUAUUGGACAAAUCCUGUAGUUGAAGUGAUUCUUGAUCAAAGACUGUACUGUGCAAGUCUGUUUGAAGUGGUCCAGGGUUUGAGGCUUUAUUUGUACAAGCCUUAGAUUAGGGGUCGGGGUAUGUUACAACUCAUAUCACACAAACAUAACCUCCUUUCUGUCUUGUCACUCAUUGCACAUAAGGCCAAUGUCAAGAUAUUGGUGCUGUGGAGGGGGAAUUGAUAUGAUAAAGGCACCAAACUCUACAUAAACAUGUGAGUUUACACAGAGAAAAACCUGACAUAGUCUAAAAAUGUCAUGCUAGGCAGGAGGGUGCAGAACAGUGGACAUGAAGGAUCCACACUGUUUGAUUUGUGGCCUGGUGACAGGCACAAACAACACUUUAGGGGUGUUUUAGUGUCCGAGAAACUUCACACAACCUGUUCCAGUGGCCUGAUACUUGAUGGGGAGCAAUGUGUGGAAUGGUGGAGUUUCC
Long non-coding RNA from Thunnus maccoyii (southern bluefin tuna), 2887 nucleotides. RefSeq lists it as uncharacterized. The record is from RefSeq and is a predicted model, not a curated record. The transcript is spliced from 4 exons. Lineage: Eukaryota; Metazoa; Chordata; Actinopteri; Scombriformes; Scombridae.